UAGCGGAGGAAAAGAAACCAACAGGGAUUGCCCUAGUAACGGCGAGUGAAGCGGCAACAGCUCAAAUUUGAAAUCUGGCCCUCGCGGUCCGAGUUGUAAUUUGUAGAGGAUGCUUUUGGUUAGGUACCUUCCGAGUUCCCUGGAACGGGACGCCAGAGAGGGUGAGAGCCCCGUACGGUUGGAUACCGAGCCUCUAUAUAGCUCCUUCGACGAGUCGAGUAGUUUGGGAAUGCUGCUCUAAAUGGGAGGUAAAUUUCUUCUAAAGCUAAAUACCGGCCAGAGACCGAUAGCGCACAAGUAGAGUGAUCGAAAGAUGAAAAGUACUUUGAAAAGAGGGUUAAAUAGCACGUGAAAUUGUUGAAAGGGAAGCGUUUGCGACCAGACUUUUUCCGGGCGGAUCAUCCGGUGUUCUCACCGGUGCACUUCGCCCGGUUUAGGCCAGCAUCGGUUCUCCUAGGGGGAUAAAGGCGGGGGGAACGUGGCUCCUUCGGGAGUGUUAUAGC
This 503-nucleotide ribosomal RNA is filed under the name Daldinia sp. RNAcentral describes it as "LSU rRNA". It matches the Rfam family "Eukaryotic large subunit ribosomal RNA", at positions 48 to 560 of the family's 3401-position model. Lineage: Eukaryota; Fungi; Ascomycota; Sordariomycetes; Xylariales; Hypoxylaceae. The record is from RNAcentral.